This is a non-coding RNA of Pelobates cultripes (western spadefoot toad), 99 nucleotides long. The record is from the annotation of a GenBank genome assembly. Lineage: Eukaryota; Metazoa; Chordata; Amphibia; Anura; Pelobatidae.
UCCCCCCUGGCCCCCACCCCUGAGCAGUGGGUGGGGGCCCUAAAUUAGAAUGAGGUGGGGGGCCCCCACCCACCGCUCAGGGGUGGGGGGCAGGGGGCA